This 654-nucleotide ribosomal RNA is filed under the name uncultured Bacteroides sp. RNAcentral's name for it is "bacterial SSU rRNA". It matches the Rfam family "Bacterial small subunit ribosomal RNA", at positions 67 to 715 of the family's 1533-position model. Lineage: Bacteria; Pseudomonadati; Bacteroidota; Bacteroidia; Bacteroidales; Bacteroidaceae. The record is from RNAcentral.
GGCAGCAUUGGAGUAGCAUACUUCAGAUGGCGACCGGCGCACGGGUGAGUAACACGUAUCCAACCUUCCGCUUACUCGGGGAUAGCCUUUCGAAAGAAAGAUUAAUAUCCGAUGGUAUAAAGAGUUCGCAUGUUCUCUUUAUUAAAGAAUUUCGGUAAGCGAUGGGGAUGCGUUCCAUUAGAUAGUUGGCGGGGUAACGGCCCACCAAGUCUACGAUGGAUAGGGGUUCUGAGAGGAAGGUCCCCCACAUUGGAACUGAGACACGGUCCAAACUCCUACGGGAGGCAGCAGUGAGGAAUAUUGGUCAAUGGACAAGAGUCUGAACCAGCCAAGUAGCGUGAAGGAUGACUGCCCUAUGGGUUGUAAACUUCUUUUAUAAGGGAAUAAAGUGAGGGACGUGUCCCUUUUUGUAUGUACCUUAUGAAUAAGGAUCGGCUAACUCCGUGCCAGCAGCCGCGGUAAUACGGAGGAUCCGAGCGUUAUCCGGAUUUAUUGGGUUUAAAGGGAGCGUAGGUUGACGUAUAAGUCAGCUGUGAAAGUUUACGGCUCAACCGUGAAAUUGCAGUUGAUACUGUAUGUCUUGAGUGUACAAGAGGUGGGCGGAAUUCGUGGUGUAGCGGUGAAAUGCUUAGAUAUCACGAAGAACUCCGAUUG